GUGGGGAAUAUUGGACAAUGGGCGAAAGCCUGAUCCAGCCAUGCCGCGUGUGUGAAGAAGGUCUUCGGAUUGUAAAGCACUUUAAGUUGGGAGGAAGGGCAGUAAGUUAAUACCUUGCUGUUUUGACGUUACCGACAGAAUAAGCACCGGCUAACUCUGUGCCAGCAGCCGCGGUAAUACGUAGGGUGCGAGCGUUAAUCGGAAUUACUGGGCGUAAAGCGCGCGUAGGUGGUUCGUUAAGUUGGAUGUGAAAGCCCCGGGCUCAACCUGGGAACGGCAUCCAAAACUGGCGAGCUAGAGUACGGUAGAGGGUGGUGGAAUUUCCUGUGUAGCGGUGAAAUGCGUAGAUAUAGGAAGGAACACCAGUGGCGAAGGCGACCACCUGGACUGAUACUGACACUGAGGUGCGAAAGCGUGGGGAGCAAACAGGAUUAGAAACCCCGGUAGUCC
Molecule: ribosomal RNA, 450 nt
Filed under: uncultured bacterium
Lineage: Bacteria
Description: partial 16S ribosomal RNA
Rfam family: Bacterial small subunit ribosomal RNA
Source: RNAcentral